Bemisia tabaci is the source of this 1018-nucleotide non-coding RNA. Lineage: Eukaryota; Metazoa; Arthropoda; Insecta; Hemiptera; Aleyrodidae. The record is from RefSeq and is a predicted model, not a curated record.
UACAGGAAUCCACUUACCCCUCUCUUUCCCACGCUCCUGCUCACUGCGUCGGCGUCUCGACGAACAAUAGCUAAUGACGGUUGCCAAGCGAUGCCGGGAUCCUCAGCCCGGAUCCAAGUAUAAAAUUGGUGAUGUAUUACUUCGCCACUUCGUCGCAUUCCUUUCCGAUUUCCAACCGUAUAGAGUCAAUCCACCGUUGAAACAGCAAAUGAUGAAUAGGAGUCACGAGAAACCAUGAGUGUCAUAUGAAAGCGUGCUAUAAUCGGGUCAUGUACUGCGUAAAGCAAGAAUUGCACCGUCUGAUUACUUUGCUCUCAUUGGUUAUCCCUUAUGUACGUCAUGAUUGAUUGCCUCCGCAUUUACCCCAUUUUAUCGGUUGGUGUGCUCAUCUUCUUAGAGUUUGUCUAUACUUCUUCGCCGUUGCCUAGUUCCCGAUUUCACUGCUAUGUCUGUCCGCCAUUUUUGCGAGUAGAUUCCGAGCUUCGUUUUUCGAGUCCUGUUCUUUUCUUUUGCGUGAUUUUCAUCGUUUUAUUGAAAGUUUCAAGUGUGCAUCUGUCUUCCUGCACAUCCAGCAACAUCCACGAUGGUUCGUAAAGUAGCGCCAAGAAAAAGAAAAAACUUCUAAAGCGAGAAAAAUACUCCGCAGCGCAAGGUGCUUAAACUUCAACAUGACGAAGCAGAAAACCCUUUAAACAAGAUACUGAUAUUGACGAUGUCAUCUCCGAAGUUGAUGAACAAGAUAACAAUAAGAAGAGUACCUGGCAUUUUAACGAUGAGUCUGCAGUAGACGUAAACAUGCCGAUCACACAAAUUAACACAGACAAAAAUCAAAAGCCUAUAAUUGGUAAAGUAGUCUCGCUUACCAGUCUUGCUUCCUAUAAAAGCCCCCAGAAAAAUGGACUAAUAAUUAAGUCCAUCCUUCAAGAUAUGUCUGGCCAAAUGGGCCUGUUGCAAACUUUUGCUAGAGCAAAAUUAAGAGUUGUUUCUUACAGAUAAUGCCUCCAAAAUCACGAUAAGC